UCACGGUACAAACUGCACUCAUGUCGCGCCGACUGCAAUACUUCAAGAAUGCUCCCGAGCUGCAAAAAGUUAAAAACUGUCUUACUUCAAAAAGUGGCCUCCAGUCUAACACACGAAAGGUGAGUCAUCCACACCUCCUCGCUAUCCGAUGCCCCCUCUGGAAAAAAAAUAAAAUAAAAAAUAAAGAGUUGGUGCCCCUCGGUAGCUGCAAUAAUAUUUUCUAUGGCCGGUUAAUUUCCCCCAAGCACUAAAAGUUCGCUUGGGUGCACUACAUAUGGAUUUGGUUGGCGGGUGUGUAGGCGGGAAAUAGAAAUAGCUCCAAAAAUAGACACCGCCUUCCGAUAAACACCGUAUCCAUUUAUAUGAAGAACGGCCUCUCAAAUAGAUACUUCCUUCAAAUAAACACCUGGUUCCUCAAAUGGACACUUCCCGUCACAAUUGGAGGACACGUACCACCCAUAUAUACAAAUAAAGGCCUCCUCCCGACUGUUUCACAAACAUAUUGCGGCAUCACGUCACCUCCACUAAUUGCAACGUGUUUCCAAGGCUGUCAUCAGGGGGUGGGGAAGGGGGGGGCAUCUAAAAGACAAAUCGAUAGCGGCUCACCUUGACCUUCCAAUUCUGACGCGUCGCCAGUCGGACGAGCGAGACGGUUGCAAUUAGCCUGGGCGUCCGUGUUGUUGGCUGGGUUUAUCUGCAUCGGCGUAAAAGGUCAGGUUGACGUGCACAGCAGGUGCACGUUAUUCACGUUAUAUCAUUAAAAAAAGGUGCUGUGAGCCACUAUGACGCGAUACGAGGCCGCCCGAUUGUUACAUUCUUCACCAAGCGAUGCAAGACGUCUUACGUGAGCAUCGUUGUUCCCGGACUGUUCGCGGACUAACUCAAAUGCAUUGUAUGGGGUAAUAAUAAACAUUUUCAGACCAAUUCAGCAAAAUUUGAUCAUUUUCCGUGACACACGUGAUGGCACGUACUGGUUGGAUAUUAUUGCAAUAAGCAAAACCAAUUUUUGAAUUUUUUUUGGGGGGGACAGAGAUACGUUGUUGUAGAAACUUGUAAAUACUCUGUGUCUUUAAUAAAAAUGAGAAAGAUGUUAAUAUAUCUUGAAAUAAAAUACAGUCGUGGGCCACUU
Hippocampus comes (tiger tail seahorse) is the source of this 1129-nucleotide long non-coding RNA. RefSeq lists it as uncharacterized. Lineage: Eukaryota; Metazoa; Chordata; Actinopteri; Syngnathiformes; Syngnathidae. The record is from RefSeq and is a predicted model, not a curated record. The transcript has 2 exons.